CGAACACAUUCAUCGAACGUUGAUGAUCCUGGCUACUACAAAAAAUGUUAGCUAGCUACAAUACUGGCGCUAGCAGACUUCGGCUGGGCUCAGCUCACUCUGAUCCAGGAGAAAGCUAUCCCUCUGGCUCUGGAAGCCAAGACCGGGUCAGGAAAAACGAUGCCUACCUAUCAUCCAGCGCAUCCUGACAUCCAAACAGAGCUAAGGAGUCUCCAGAAGAAUCGACUUCCAGAAUGUCUCCAACUUCAUCAACUUUGACUUCCCCAUCACCGUUGAGUCCUACAUCCACUGCGU
Long non-coding RNA from Oncorhynchus masou masou (cherry salmon), 294 nucleotides. RefSeq lists it as uncharacterized. The record is from RefSeq and is a predicted model, not a curated record. Lineage: Eukaryota; Metazoa; Chordata; Actinopteri; Salmoniformes; Salmonidae. The transcript has 3 exons.